This 74-nucleotide transfer RNA is filed under the name Oscillospiraceae bacterium. Its description in RNAcentral is "tRNA-Arg". It matches the Rfam family "tRNA". From Rfam's summary of the family: Transfer RNA (tRNA) molecules are approximately 80 nucleotides in length. Their secondary structure includes four short double-helical elements and three loops (D, anti-codon, and T loops). The record is from RNAcentral. Lineage: Bacteria; Bacillati; Bacillota; Clostridia; Eubacteriales; Oscillospiraceae.
GUGCUUGUAGCUCAGCUGGAUAGAGUGACUGGCUACGAACCAGUAGGUCGUGGGUUCGAGUCCCCCCAGGCACA